AGAGCUGGAGACUGAUGUGAACUUCAUCUCUCUCCCCAGAAAAGGCUCAACAUCAACUAUAUAGCCAACAUGUCCAAGGUGUUUAAGAAGACCAGCUCCAAUGGGAAGGUGAGAGAACCUGGCCCAGCUGGGCAAAUGAGAGGGCAAAAGGGAUAGGUGGGUACAUCCUUCAAGGUCUCAGGGGUCUGGGUUGGGGGCUUCAGGGGAAUCCAUUCAAAAAUGAUUGUGAGAAUAACAUGGGAAGUUGUUCCACAACAGCUCUCCAUCUACCUGGGGAAACGGGACUUCGUGGACCAUGUGGACACGGUGGAACCCAUUGGUCAGUGAGUCCAAAAAAGGGAAGCCUGGGGAAAGAGGAAUGGAAACUAGGGAGUAAAAGAAAGUCCAGGAAAGACCGUGCAGAAAAGGAGGCAAAUUAAAGGGAA
RNAcentral lists this small RNA (425 nucleotides) under Pan troglodytes (chimpanzee). RNAcentral describes it as "retained intron". Lineage: Eukaryota; Metazoa; Chordata; Mammalia; Primates; Hominidae. The record is from RNAcentral.